RNAcentral lists this unclassified non-coding RNA (238 nucleotides) under Hevea brasiliensis (rubber tree). The record is from RNAcentral. Lineage: Eukaryota; Viridiplantae; Streptophyta; Magnoliopsida; Malpighiales; Euphorbiaceae.
AAUUGUAGGAGUCCCCUUCUCUGCCUGAAGAAGGUGAUGAGGAAAAAGAUAAAUAAAAACGAAAUCCCUCACCUCAACCGGAGUGAUCUACAAAAUAAACUUCAAUAGGCACAAUUGCAGAACAAAUGCCAUGCAGCUUGGAUUGUUGUCCAGGGUGAAAAACACAGCUAACGCAACAGAAACAAAGACAAAUUUCAAGGCAAUAUAUUUCUUACAGGAGGCAAAUCUAUAGGGGUGG